GGAGUGCUAAUUUGGGAUCAGGUUUGGGUUUUAGAUCACAGAGGAGGAGUGCUAAUUUGGGAUCAGGUUUGGGUUUUAGAUCACAGAGGAGGAGUGCUAAUUUGGGAUCAGGUUUGGGUUUUAGAUCUCAGAGGAGGAGUGCUAAUUUGGGAUCAGGUUUGGGUUUUAGAUCUCAGAGGAGGAGUUCUAAUUUGGGAUCAGGUUUGGGUUUUAGAUCACAGAGGAGGAGUGCUAAUUUGGGAUCAGGUUUGGGUUUUAGAUCUCAGAGAAUAAGAUGACAUGGACAAUAAUAAUAAAACAUAGAAAAACCUAAUAUCUCCCCAGACCAGAGAGAGUGUAAAGUCUGAGCUUUCAGUCAGUUACUGUGUGUAUCACUGCAGCUACCUGGCUCUCCAACCAUGCAUGAAAUGAGGAGCAGUCUGAAGUGAACAGGAAAUUCCUCUUGAAGGACAGUGGAAUUUAAUAAAAACACAUUUUUACAAUUUUGAAACUCACGCACUUCUACACGUUCCAUUGUCCUCCAAGAGUUGCACUCUGCAGUACUGUAUCAACCUGUACAGAAGCAUAGCGAGAGAAG
Oncorhynchus keta (chum salmon) is the source of this 577-nucleotide long non-coding RNA. RefSeq lists it as uncharacterized. The transcript is spliced from 3 exons. Lineage: Eukaryota; Metazoa; Chordata; Actinopteri; Salmoniformes; Salmonidae. The record is from RefSeq and is a predicted model, not a curated record.